GGAUAUGAGGGCGAUCUAGCUGCGACAUCUGUCACCCAUUGAUCGCCAGGGUUGAUUCGGCUGAUCUGGCUGGCUAGGCGGGUGUCCCCUUCGUCCCUCACCACUCCAUGUGCAUCCCUCCCAAAGCUGCGCGCUCGGUCGAAGAGGACGACCUUCCCCGAUAGAGGAGGACCAUUCUUCGGUCAAGGGUAUAUGAGUAGCUGCACUCCCCUGCUAGACGCUCCAAACAAGCUCUCAAGGUCCAUUUGUAGGAGAACGUAGGGUAGUCAAGCUUCCAAGACUCCAGACACAUCCAAAUGAGGCGCUGCAUGUGGCAGUCUGCCUUUCUUA
RNAcentral lists this small nuclear RNA (330 nucleotides) under Felis catus (domestic cat). RNAcentral's name for it is "7SK RNA". It matches the Rfam family "7SK RNA". Rfam says of the family: 7SK was discovered as an abundant small nuclear RNA in the mid-70s but a possible function has only recently been suggested. Two independent studies have found that 7SK RNA binds the CDK9/cyclin T complex (known as elongation factor P-TEFb). P-TEFb activates transcription by phosphorylating the C-terminal domain of RNA polymerase II. Lineage: Eukaryota; Metazoa; Chordata; Mammalia; Carnivora; Felidae. The record is from Rfam by way of RNAcentral.